RNAcentral lists this long non-coding RNA (1465 nucleotides) under Homo sapiens (human). RNAcentral describes it as "HSALNT0212264". Lineage: Eukaryota; Metazoa; Chordata; Mammalia; Primates; Hominidae. The record is from RNAcentral.
AGACUCCUUCUCAAAAAAUAAAAAAUAAAAAAAUUAUAAUAAUGAUAAAAGCCAAAAAAAAAAUUGAAAACUCCAAGAAGAGCAAAAAGAAACCCAAAAGUUCAUUCCACAGAGAUAAUCACUGUUAAUAUUUUGGUGUAUCUUCUUCAACCUUUUAAAAUAAUGCUAAUUUAUAUCUGCAAGAAACAGGGUGUUUGAUUUAAAAGAAUACAAUGGUGCCCUGUGAUUGUUUGGCUGCAUCUAGGAGAUAAUGUGUCCUUUAGCAUUGGGGAUUAGGAUUAACUUUCUCAAAUCCUCAGAGGGUCAGUUUUAUGAGGCUAAGAUAAAGCAAGGCUCCUAGUCCAGCGGGCUCCAGUAGUGUCUAAAAUCCAGGACCUUUGGUUUUAAGCACUUAUUUCACUUAUGUGCAUGAAAAGAAGGAGGAAGUUCAGGUGAAGCUGCCCAGGAGUAGAGAAAGACUGCAUGUGAAUUCAUGUGAUCAGAAAGCAAACAGGCAGAUACUGAACCAGCCGUCCCAUGGUAAACAUCUAGAAAACUAGACAAAGUACAUGAAACGACUGUGUUCACACAUCUCAGAUAUUUCCUGAGAGAAGUGAAACAAAUGAGGCGAUCCCUACAUUGCCGCAGCUUUUUGCCUAGAAGCACAUUCCAGACUACUACCUGGAGACGGGAAGCCAAGCAGAACACAGAAGUCUUGCUGAGUUGAGGAGACAGAGACCCAAGGUGGUUGGAAUUUGCCAGGCAGAUUACCAGGGAGGAGAGAACUGCACAAAGACCUCUAGACACUUGACAAAAGUACUUGUCUAAAGUAUUUGGUUGAAUACUAGGCUACACAUGCCCAUGGUAAGGCUCCAUGAGUCUGGAUAAAUAGCAACAAUGGGAAAUAACAAAUACUGGUGAGCUAUAAACUGAGCGCUUCCAGAAGCCUAUACGUAGUUGGAAGUUUUUUGAGCUCUAGCCAGCUAGCCAGCUAGAAUAAAUUAUUUAUUUAUAAUAAUAAACUAUUUAUUAUUAAAUAUAAUAAACUAUUGUAGCCAGCUAAAAUAAAUAGUUCAGUGGGGUCUCACUGAACACCUGGGACAUUUAGUAGAGACCCCAGAAAACCUAGGCCUUAGGAGUAAGACUUAACUAGCUCUAGAGAGAAGGUUUCUCUAGGCCUGCUCUCACAAAGCUUGAAAACAAGCCCCAAAAGGAUCAUGAUGAUCAUUAAGAAACUUAAACUACCUCACUAAAAUAAAAAGGACAGUCUCUCAACACCAUAACCCUUAUAAUGUUCAGCAUCCACUAAAAAGUUUUUUUUUUUUAGGCGGAGUCUUGCUCUGUCACCCAGGCUGGAGUGCAGUGGCGUGAUCUCUGCUCACUGCAAGCUCCGCCUCCCGGGUUCAUGCCAUUCUCCUGUCUCAGCCUCCCUAGCAGCUGGGACUACGGGCGCCCACCACCAUGCCCGGCUAAUUUUUUGUAUUUU